Molecule: long non-coding RNA, 150 nt
Organism: Etheostoma spectabile (orangethroat darter)
Lineage: Eukaryota; Metazoa; Chordata; Actinopteri; Perciformes; Percidae
Exons: 3
Source: RefSeq, a predicted model, not a curated record
CUGCUGCUGGCAGUGUUGUGUUCAAGACCACCUAAACUGAGACCAAGUCAUCACCGAGACCAGAGUGUAUAGAGACCGUGACCCAGACUUUGAGGGGUUGAGACCGAGUCAAGACCAAGACCAUGUUGAAUUCCACACUGCAUGCCGCAA